Molecule: ribosomal RNA, 218 nt
Filed under: uncultured bacterium
Lineage: Bacteria
Description: partial 16S ribosomal RNA
Rfam family: Bacterial small subunit ribosomal RNA
Source: RNAcentral
UACGUAGGGUGCGAGCGUUUGUCCGGAAUUACUGGGCGUAAAGAGCUCGUAGGUGGUUUGUCGCGUUGUCCGUGAAAUUCCCUGGCUUAACUGGGGGCGUUGCGGGCGAUACGGGGCAGACUGGAGUACUGCAGGGGAGACUGGAAUUCCUGGUGUAGCGGUGGAAUGCGCAGAUAUCAGGAAGAACACCCCGUGGCGAAGGCGGCUCUCUGGAAACG